Long non-coding RNA from Cercocebus atys (sooty mangabey), 1228 nucleotides. RefSeq lists it as uncharacterized. The record is from RefSeq and is a predicted model, not a curated record. Lineage: Eukaryota; Metazoa; Chordata; Mammalia; Primates; Cercopithecidae. The transcript is spliced from 3 exons.
CCGCCCACCUCGGCCUCCCAAAGUGCUGGGAUUACAACUGCAUCAUUUAUCUGUUGGAAAAUUCAAGAUUCCAAGAUGAAAGUCACCCUGCCCUCCAGGAGCUUACAGUCUAGCAGGGGAUGGGAGAUAGACCAGCAAUUACAGUGCAGUGUGCUGAGGACUGAGACAACAAUAAUGGCUACAAGGAUCACAACCAGCUGUGCCACUUGCCCUAUCGGUUCAUCAUUUGCAGCUGUACCCAGUGCUUCCAGCUCAGGCCUCUGCAUCUGCCAGGUGCAGUGUGUGAUGCCCUUGGCAAAUACAAUAGCAACCUCAAAGAUCACUGAUCACAGAUCACCAUACCAGAUAUAAUGAUAAUGAAAAAGUUUGAAAUACUGUGAAAAUUGUAAAAUGUGACACAGAGACAGGAAGUGAGCAGAUGGUGUUGGAAAAAUGGCACUGGUAGGUUUGCUUGAUGCAGGAUUGUCACAAACUUUUAAUUUGUAAUUUGUUUAGUUUUGCACAGCUAAACAAAGAACAAUAAAAUGGGGUAUGCCUGUAGAGUUAUGAAUUUUUCUUUGCACUGAAAAAUAAUUGGUGUGGUGUUACGUUGGCAUCAAUAAUUCAACUAGUGAUUUUAAUCUCUAUAUUCCUUGUCUGAAUUAAUCUCACUAUGCUUUUAAUUUCAAUGUGCCUAUCCCACUUACAAAAGGUGUGAAACUAUUUAUGCAUUUAUUGGCUACUUAAUCUUCCUUUCCUGUAACAUACCUAUUAACUGAAUUUUGAUCAUUUUUCUAUUGAGCUAUUUGUAUUUUUUAACUGAUUUGUAAAAUGUCUCUAUAUAUUUUUGACACUAGUCAUUUGCCAUUCAUAUGCGUUACAGAUACUUUGAGGUUGAAGAUGGAUUUUUGCAAACUUUAAGUUGCUUUGGGAUUAAAAUAAUUCUUUUGAAUUUAAAUAUAAUCAAUUUAAAACAUUUUUAUUUACAGUUGUUAUUUUGUGUGUGGUUUACAUGUAGUCCUCUCUUCAAGAAUACAAAGAUGUUUUUCUGUUUUAUUCUAUAUUUUUAGUUGCCAUUUACGUUUAAGCCUUUAAGCCAUGUGGAAUUUACUUCUGUGUAUCUUAUGGGAGUGGAAUUCUAUUUAAUUUUUAUACUGAUUAUCAGUUUUCUCAGCUUCAUUUAUUGAAUAAUCUAUACAUCCUCUAAUAUCUACAAUAUUAAGUUUGUCUUGCAGAAAAUAUCCUUAUA